GGAGAGAUGGCUGAGUCGGCUUAAGGCGCACGCUUGGAAAGCGUGUGUAGGCUAACCCCUACCGUGGGUUCGAAUCCCACUCUCUCCGCCA
RNAcentral lists this transfer RNA (91 nucleotides) under Clostridia bacterium. Its description in RNAcentral is "tRNA-Ser". It matches the Rfam family "tRNA". From Rfam's summary of the family: Transfer RNA (tRNA) molecules are approximately 80 nucleotides in length. The record is from RNAcentral. Lineage: Bacteria; Bacillati; Bacillota; Clostridia.